GCAUGCCUGCAGUGCUGGGGAUGCACAGUUGCAAUGCUGGAGGUGCACAGUUGCAAUGCUGGGAAUGCACAGUUGCAAUAGUGGGGAUGCACAGUUGCAAUAGUGGGGAUGCACACCUGCAGUGCUGGGGAUGCACAGUUGCAAUGCUGCAGAUGCAUGCCUGCAAUGCUGGGGGGUGCACGGUUGCAGUGCAGGGGGCACACAGUUGCAAUGCUGGGGUUGCAUACCUGCAAUGCUGGGGAUGCACGGUUGCAAUGCUGGGGACGCACAGUUGCAGUGCUGGAGAUGCACUGUUGCAAUGCUGGAGAUGCACAGUUGCAAUGCUGGGGGUGCAUGCCUGCAAUGCUGGGGGUGCAUGGUUGCAGUGCAGGGAGUGCACAGUUGCAAUGCUGGGGAUGCACAGUUGCAAUGCUGGGGAUGCAGCCCCCAUCCAGCAGUCGGCUUGGAGUUUCCAUCGGCGGCUGCAGGUGCCUUCAGUGUUUGGAGAUGAUCUCAAGCAGGGGGCUCACUUCUCCACAGGCAGCUGAUAAAUGGUGGGAUGGGAAGCAUUCCCUGCUGCCUGAGCUAAUGAUUGCUUUCCGAAUGGCAUCUGUGUGUGUGGGGAGGGGGCGGCUGGAGACGGGGCGCUGCGGGAGAAGGGGAAUAAUCACAGUAAACUCCAUCUCAGCAAGUGCUGCGGGUAUGCAUCAUUUUUAUUGCAGGGAAGAUGAAUGGAUCCUGUGGUGGCUUUUGUUUUAUUUCAGCGGAGGGAAGCGUUUAAAUCGCCGGUUGAUUUCAAACCAUUUGGGUAAUUCAGGGUGAAUAAACCUGGCUGGAGCUGACGGAGGUUCUGGGAUGGCUGCUGGGCUGUCUGAGCUGCUUCUGAAGCUGCAGCACUGCUGCGUGGCUUUCCUUCUGCACCGAAACGCUUUGAUUACAAUUCCUGUGGCACUUCUGUAGCAGACCUGCAAUAAUUGUGUUCACCCCUCUGCCUUUUUGGUAAGGAUGAGCCUGCAUCAAGC
RNAcentral lists this long non-coding RNA (1001 nucleotides) under Phasianus colchicus (ring-necked pheasant). Its description in RNAcentral is "lncRNA (ENSPCLG00000007537.1)". Lineage: Eukaryota; Metazoa; Chordata; Aves; Galliformes; Phasianidae. The record is from RNAcentral.